This 1385-nucleotide ribosomal RNA is filed under the name bacterium. RNAcentral describes it as "bacterial SSU rRNA". It matches the Rfam family "Bacterial small subunit ribosomal RNA". The record is from RNAcentral.
ACAGAGAGCUUGCUCUCGGGUGACGAGCGGCGGACGGGUGAGUAAUGUCUGGGAAACUGCCUGAUGGAGGGGGAUAACUACUGGAAACGGUAGCUAAUACCGCAUAACGUCGCAAGACCAAAGUGGGGGACCUUCGGGCCUCAUGCCAUCAGAUGUGCCCAGAUGGGAUUAGCUAGUAGGUGGGGUAAUGGCUCACCUAGGCGACGAUCCCUAGCUGGUCUGAGAGGAUGACCAGCCACACUGGAACUGAGACACGGUCCAGACUCCUACGGGAGGCAGCAGUGGGGAAUAUUGCACAAUGGGCGCAAGCCUGAUGCAGCCAUGCCGCGUGUAUGAAGAAGGCCUUCGGGUUGUAAAGUACUUUCAGCGAGGAGGAAGGCAUUAAGGUUAAUAACCUUGGUGAUUGACGUUACUCGCAGAAGAAGCACCGGCUAACUCCGUGCCAGCAGCCGCGGUAAUACGGAGGGUGCAAGCGUUAAUCGGAAUUACUGGGCGUAAAGCGCACGCAGGCGGUCUGUCAAGUCGGAUGUGAAAUCCCCGGGCUCAACCUGGGAACUGCAUUCGAAACUGGCAGGCUAGAGUCUUGUAGAGGGGGGUAGAAUUCCAGGUGUAGCGGUGAAAUGCGUAGAGAUCUGGAGGAAUACCGGUGGCGAAGGCGGCCCCCUGGACAAAGACUGACGCUCAGGUGCGAAAGCGUGGGGAGCAAACAGGAUUAGAUACCCUGGUAGUCCACGCCGUAAACGAUGUCGACUUGGAGGUUGUGCCCUUGAGGCGUGGCUUCCGGAGCUAACGCGUUAAGUCGACCGCCUGGGGAGUACGGCCGCAAGGUUAAAACUCAAAUGAAUUGACGGGGGCCCGCACAAGCGGUGGAGCAUGUGGUUUAAUUCGAUGCAACGCGAAGAACCUUACCUACUCUUGACAUCCAGAGAACUUAGCAGAGAUGCUUUGGUGCCUUCGGGAACUCUGAGACAGGUGCUGCAUGGCUGUCGUCAGCUCGUGUUGUGAAAUGUUGGGUUAAGUCCCGCAACGAGCGCAACCCUUAUCCUUUGUUGCCAGCGGUUAGGCCGGGAACUCAAAGGAGACUGCCAGUGAUAAACUGGAGGAAGGUGGGGAUGACGUCAAGUCAUCAUGGCCCUUACGAGUAGGGCUACACACGUGCUACAAUGGCAUAUACAAAGAGAAGCGACCUCGCGAGAGCAAGCGGACCUCAUAAAGUAUGUCGUAGUCCGGAUUGGAGUCUGCAACUCGACUCCAUGAAGUCGGAAUCGCUAGUAAUCGUAGAUCAGAAUGCUACGGUGAAUACGUUCCCGGGCCUUGUACACACCGCCCGUCACACCAUGGGAGUGGGUUGCAAAAGAAGUAGGUAGCUUAACCUUCGGGAGGGC